Molecule: ribosomal RNA, 492 nt
Filed under: uncultured bacterium
Lineage: Bacteria
Description: partial 16S ribosomal RNA
Rfam family: Bacterial small subunit ribosomal RNA
Source: RNAcentral
AGUGAACGCUGGCGGUAGGCCUAACACAUGCAAGUCGAACGGCAGCACAGUAAGAGCUUGCUCUUACGGGUGGCGAGUGGCGGACGGGUGAGGAAUACAUCGGAAUCUACUUUUUCGUGGGGGAUAACGUAGGGAAACUUACGCUAAUACCGCAUACGACCUACGGGUGAAAGCAGGGGAUCUUCGGACCUUGCGCGAUUGAAUGAGCCGAUGUCGGAUUAGCUAGUUGGCGGGGUAAAGGCCCACCAAGGCGACGAUCCGUAGCUGGUCUGAGAGGAUGUUCAGCCACACUGGAACUGAGACACGGUCCAGACUCCUACGGGAGGCAGCAGUGGGGAAUAUUGGGCAAUGGGCGCAAGCCUGAUCCAGCCAUACCGCGUGGGUGAAGAAGGCCUUCGGGUUGUAAAGCCCUUUUGUUGGGAAAGAAAAGCAGCAGGUUAAUACCCCGCUGUUCUGACGGUACCCAAAGAAUAAGCACCGGCUAACUUCGUG